GUUAAAUCCCGGUUCGACCUGGGUUGAACCUUAAAUCCUUAACUUUCUGGCUUUACCGGUUCAAUGACCAGGUUAGUUUUGAAAACCUUGGUUUUUAACUUUACAAUAGAUUGUGAAGCUGCCAUCUGGUUGAUUCUCCUACCUUCUUUAUUUUCUUUUUCAAGAACAUGUAUCUUCAUUUUCUGUUUUCGAAAUUGGGGAUGAUCCGUUAUAUGGAAACUACACAAACUGGCUGAUCAUGCACUUGAUUUUACAAUUAAUAGAAACUAUUAGAUUGUGAGUUCUCUGUGUUGGUGCUGGAUUGCUUAUAAUGUUCUUGUCAAUCCAAUUUCCCCCUUCUAUGAAGUUCAAAUUUUAAAAUUUAAAUUGCUAUAAAGUCUAAUAGGGUAUUUGCUUUGAACUCUUACACUAUGUUUUGAUCAUGGUUUGUUAUGGUUUCAUAUUGUAUGAUAUGGUUACUGUACAUGUUUGGGAAGAUUGUUUGUAA
RNAcentral lists this unclassified non-coding RNA (487 nucleotides) under Hevea brasiliensis (rubber tree). Lineage: Eukaryota; Viridiplantae; Streptophyta; Magnoliopsida; Malpighiales; Euphorbiaceae. The record is from RNAcentral.